UACGUAGGGGGCAAGCGUUGUCCGGAAUCAUUGGGCUUAAAGGGCGCGUAGGCGGUCCGACAAGUCGGGGGUGAAAUCCUGCAGCUUAACUGCAGAAGUGCCUUCGAUACUGUCGGUCUUGAAGGAGAUAGGGGUGUGCGGAACUUCCAGUGGAGCGGUGAAAUGCGUUGAUAUUGGAAGGAACGCCGGAGGCGAAAGCGGCGCACUGGAUCUCUACUGACGCUGAGGCGCGAAAGCCAGGGGAGCAAAGCGGG
RNAcentral lists this ribosomal RNA (254 nucleotides) under uncultured bacterium. RNAcentral describes it as "partial 16S ribosomal RNA". It matches the Rfam family "Bacterial small subunit ribosomal RNA", at positions 524 to 777 of the family's 1533-position model. The record is from RNAcentral.